RNAcentral lists this ribosomal RNA (1441 nucleotides) under uncultured organism. RNAcentral's name for it is "SSU rRNA". It matches the Rfam family "Bacterial small subunit ribosomal RNA". The record is from RNAcentral.
AGCUACAGGCUUAACACAUGCAAGUCGAGGGGCAUCAGGAAGAAAGCUUGCUUUCUUUGCUGGCGACCGGCGCACGGGUGAGUAACACGUAUCCAACCUGCCCUUUACUCGGGGAUAGCCUUUCGAAAGAAAGAUUAAUACCCGAUGGCAUAAUGAUUCCGCAUGGUUUCAUUAUUAAAGGAUUCCGGUAAAGGAUGGGGAUGCGUUCCAUUAGGUUGUUGGUGAGGUAACGGCUCACCAAGCCUUCGAUGGAUAGGGGUUCUGAGAGGAAGGUCCCCCACAUUGGAACUGAGACACGGUCCAAACUCCUACGGGAGGCAGCAGUGAGGAAUAUUGGUCAAUGGGCGCUAGCCUGAACCAGCCAAGUAGCGUGAAGGAUGAAGGCUCUAUGGGUCGUAAACUUCUUUUAUAUAAGAAUAAAGUGCAGUAUGUAUACUGUUUUGUAUGUAUUAUAUGAAUAAGGAUCGGCUAACUCCGUGCCAGCAGCCGCGGUAAUACGGAGGAUCCGAGCGUUAUCCGGAUUUAUUGGGUUUAAAGGGAGCGUAGGUGGACUGGUAAGUCAGUUGUGAAAGUUUGCGGCUCAACCGUAAAAUUGCAGUUGAUACUGUCAGUCUUGAGUACAGUAGAGGUGGGCGGAAUUCGUGGUGUAGCGGUGAAAUGCUUAGAUAUCACGAAGAACUCCGAUUGCGAAGGCAGCUCACUGGACUGCAACUGACACUGAUGCUCGAAAGUGUGGGUAUCAAACAGGAUUAGAUACCCUGGUAGUCCACACAGUAAACGAUGAAUACUCGCUGUUUGCGAUAUACAGUAAGCAGCCAAGCGAAAGCAUUAAGUAUUCCACCUGGGGAGUACGCCGGCAACGGUGAAACUCAAAGGAAUUGACGGGGGCCCGCACAAGCGGAGGAACAUGUGGUUUAAUUCGAUGAUACGCGAGGAACCUUACCCGGGCUUAAAUUGCAGUGGAAUGAUGUGGAAACAUGUCAGUGAGCAAUCACCGCUGUGAAGGUGCUGCAUGGUUGUCGUCAGCUCGUGCCGUGAGGUGUCGGCUUAAGUGCCAUAACGAGCGCAACCCUUAUCUUUAGUUACUAACAGGUCAUGCUGAGGACUCUAGAGAGACUGCCGUCGUAAGAUGUGAGGAAGGUGGGGAUGACGUCAAAUCAGCACGGCCCUUACGUCCGGGGCUACACACGUGUUACAAUGGGGGGUACAGAAGGCAGCUAGCGGGUGACCGUAUGCUAAUCCCAAAAGCCUCUCUCAGUUCGGAUCGAAGUCUGCAACCCGACUUCGUGAAGCUGGAUUCGCUAGUAAUCGCGCAUCAGCCACGGCGCGGUGAAUACGUUCCCGGGCCUUGUACACACCGCCCGUCAAGCCAUGGGAGCCGGGGGUACCUGAAGUGCGUAACCGCAAGGAUCGUCCUAGGGUAAAACUGGUGACUGGGGCU